Molecule: ribosomal RNA, 497 nt
Filed under: uncultured bacterium
Lineage: Bacteria
Description: partial 16S ribosomal RNA
Rfam family: Bacterial small subunit ribosomal RNA
Source: RNAcentral
GAUGAACGCUGGCGGCGUGCCUAAUACAUGCAAGUCGAGCGAACAGAUGAGGAGCUUGCUCCUCUGACGUUAGCGGCGGACGGGUGAGUAACACGUGGAUAACCUACCUAUAAGACUGGGAUAACUUCGGGAAACCGGAGCUAAUACCGGAUAAUAUAUUGAACCGCAUGGUUCAAUAGUGAAAGACGGUUUUGCUGUCACUUAUAGAUGGAUCCGCGCCGCAUUAGCUAGUUGGUAAGGUAACGGCUUACCAAGGCAACGAUGCGUAGCCGACCUGAGAGGGUGAUCGGCCACACUGGAACUGAGACACGGUCCAGACUCCUAAGGGAGGCAGCAGUAGGGAAUCUUCCGCAAUGGGCGAAAGCCUGACGGAGCAACGCCGCGUGAGUGAUGAAGGUCUUCGGAUCGUAAAACUCUGUUAUUGGGGAAGAACAAAUGUGUAAGUAACUAUGCACGUCUUGACGGUACCUAAUCAGAAAGCCACGGCUAACUACGUG